Molecule: ribosomal RNA, 109 nt
Filed under: Bacteroidia bacterium
Lineage: Bacteria; Pseudomonadati; Bacteroidota; Bacteroidia
Also listed under: 1 other name
Source: RNAcentral
UUUGGUGAUUAUAGCGGUGAGGAUCACCUCUUCCCAUUUCGAACAGAGAAGUUAAGCUCACUGGCGCAGAUGAUACUGCCACUGGCGGGAAAGUAUGUAGUCGCCAAAU